CUACACCCACCCUCGUGCUCUGGGUUGCUCAGAAAUUCCAAGUUUCCUGCUGCCUCACUGGCUGGAACAGAAUGGAAUGUGCACCACUGCUGAUAACAACAGGAGAGGCCCCAAACCACAGAGGCAGGCAGCCCCGGGAAGUUAAUCCCGAAGCAUUUCUGCCCUCCACAUUUAUUGAAAGUCACUUGGAACAUUGGUUCAGAAGUACUCUACGUGGCUCUCAUUCCUGGACCCAGGCUGAAGCAGCAGCAGACACUUGGACAUCCACUUCUCAUGGAGAAUACAGGAGUGGGAGAGAUAGAUUAGAAAUACACAAAGCUUGAAACUGACCUCCUAUCGUUUCCCACCUGCAGCCCACUGGCCAAAGAUUCUUGUAAAGUGGAAUUACUCUUCUCAUCAAACAUUCUGUACUACUCUAUGAUCCAAAGAAAUGCCCAGAUUCUUCUAGAAUAGGCCCACUAGUGAUGCCUGGAUUGAAUUAAAGCAGCUGAUUCUCAAGCCAAGUGGCCAGAAUUUGGACAACUCUACUGGUUCAUCCUCUGUGCUGUAUGGAAGAAACCAAGAUAAUGACACUUUCCCAAGGCUGGGACUG
Molecule: long non-coding RNA, 592 nt
Organism: Aethalodelphis obliquidens (Pacific white-sided dolphin)
Lineage: Eukaryota; Metazoa; Chordata; Mammalia; Artiodactyla; Delphinidae
Exons: 4
Source: RefSeq, a predicted model, not a curated record